CCUACGUGAGGCAGCAGUGAGGAAUAUUGGUCAAUGGGCGAGAGCCUGAACCAGCCAAGUCGCGUGAGGGAGUACUGCCCUAUGGGUUGUAAACCUCUUUUGUCGGGGAGCACAAGCCGGACGUGUCCGGCUGUGAGAGUACCCGAAGAAAAAGCCUCGGCUAACUCCGUGCCAGCAGCCGCGGUAAUACGGAGGAUGCGAGCGUUAUCCGGUUUUAUUGGGUUUAAAGGGUGCGCAGGCGGAUUUUUAAGUCAGCGGUCAAAUCGUGGGGCUCAACCCCAUCCAGCCGUUGAAACUGGAAGACUUGAGUGUGUUUGAGGUAGGCGGAAUGCGUGGUGUAGCGGUGAAAUGCAUAGAUAUCACGCAGAACUCCGAUUGCGAAGGCAGCUUACUAAGCCAUAACUGACACUGAAGCACGAAAGCGUGGGGAUCAAACAGGAUUAGAUACCCUUGUAGUC
RNAcentral lists this ribosomal RNA (458 nucleotides) under uncultured bacterium. Its description in RNAcentral is "partial 16S ribosomal RNA". It matches the Rfam family "Bacterial small subunit ribosomal RNA", at positions 338 to 795 of the family's 1533-position model. The record is from RNAcentral.